GCUACCAACCGGGUCAUCGCGCUCUUUGUUCACAUAAAGGGGGAGGAAAGUCCGGACAGCACAGGGCAAUGCACCGGCUAACGGCCGGGUGGCGCGCAAGCGCCAAUAGAGAGUGCCACAGAAAAUAACUGUCCGCUACGGCGGAUGAGGGUGAAAAUGUGGGGUAAGAGCCCACGGCGCCGGCAAGUAAUUGCCGGGGCGGGUAAACCUUGCAUGCUGAAAUGCCACGUAUACCGGCGAUUGAGGGCGGCCCGUCCGAUGCCGGAGGGUAGGCAGCAAGAUCCCUGCAGUAAUGCAGGGGCCAGAUAAAUGAUGACCACCCCGCCUCCGGCGGGGAACAGGAUCCGGCUUACAGGUUGGUAGCUUUU
This 368-nucleotide RNase P RNA is filed under the name Flavitalea plasmicola. RNAcentral's name for it is "Flavitalea sp. BT771 RNase P RNA component class A". It matches the Rfam family "Bacterial RNase P class A". Rfam says of the family: Ribonuclease P (RNase P) is a ubiquitous endoribonuclease, found in archaea, bacteria and eukarya as well as chloroplasts and mitochondria. Its best characterised activity is the generation of mature 5'-ends of tRNAs by cleaving the 5'-leader elements of precursor-tRNAs. The record is from RNAcentral. Lineage: Bacteria; Pseudomonadati; Bacteroidota; Chitinophagia; Chitinophagales; Chitinophagaceae.